UCUUUCUACCCUUUUCCUCCCUUCUCUCCUCACUCAUAGUUGAGUAGAUUGAGAGGGCGGGUAUUGGAGUUGAGAGUUUUCCCCCCUUCUGUUCUUGCUGGGUUUUGC
Molecule: non-coding RNA, 108 nt
Filed under: Palpitomonas bilix
Lineage: Eukaryota
Source: RNAcentral